RNAcentral lists this ribosomal RNA (524 nucleotides) under Chortophaga viridifasciata (green-striped grasshopper). Its description in RNAcentral is "partial 16S ribosomal RNA". Lineage: Eukaryota; Metazoa; Arthropoda; Insecta; Orthoptera; Acrididae. The record is from RNAcentral.
AGAUUUAAAGGUCGAACAGACCUAAUUAUUGAGCUCUGCACCCAAAAUUAAUCUUAAUCCAACAUCGAGGUCGCAAUCUGUUUCGUCGAUAUGAGCUCUCAAAAACAAUUACGCUGUUAUCCCUAAGGUAACUUAAUCUUAUGAUCAUAAAUUAUGGAUCAUUUAAACAUAAAUUAAUGAUUUAAUAAUGAAGAGUUUAUUUAUUCUUCAUGUCACCCCAACAAAACAUCAACAAUUAAUAUAAAAAGAUAAUAAAAAAAAUAUUAAAUUAAAAUGUAAAGCUCUAUAGGGUCUUCUCGUCCUAAAGAAAAAUUUAAGCCUUUUAACUUAAAAGUUAAAUUAUAAAAUUUAUUAAGAGACAGUUAAUUUCUCGUCAAACCAUUCAUUCCAGCCUCUAAUUAAGAAACUAAUGAUUAUGCUACCUUUGCACGGUCAAAAUACCGCGGCUCUUUAAAACAAAUUCAGUGAGCAGGUCAAACUUCAAAAUAUUAUCAAGAAGACAUGUUUUUGUUAAACAAGGGGGG